RNAcentral lists this unclassified non-coding RNA (2366 nucleotides) under Dermacentor andersoni. RNAcentral's name for it is "uncharacterized LOC126531254". The record is from RNAcentral. Lineage: Eukaryota; Metazoa; Arthropoda; Arachnida; Ixodida; Ixodidae.
AUGGUCUGCACUCGAAAAUGUUACUUCGGCCACGAGCAUCACCUGUUCCAGGAGCGACCACUACUGCUUCUACAUUCCCUCGCCAGUGGCGUCCUGCUGGUAGACUGGACUUGUCUCCUCGCCCUGCACUACUACUGGUUCUGCAAUCCUGUUUCCAGCUGCGGUCUUCAAGCGUACCCAGCGUGCCCCUGCACUACUCUAUGGUCUGCACUCGAAAAUGUUACUUCGGCCACGAGCAUCACCUGUUCCAGGAGCGACCACUACUGCUUCUACAUUCCCUUGCCAGUGGCGUCCUGCUGGUAGACUGGACUUGUCUCCUCGCCCUGCACUACUACUGGUUCUGCACUCCCGUUUUCGACUGCGGUCGGUACCUAGCAGGCUCCAGCACGUCGACUCUCCUUUCUGCACUCCAAAAGAGAUUACUUCGGGCGCCAGCAUCACCCGUUCCAUGAGCGACUGCUUUUGCUUCCACGUUCUCUCGCGGACGGCGUCUUGCUGUAAGACUGGACUUAGCCUGGCGUCCUUGCACUUAAUUCUGGUUCCCAGUGUUUGCUGUCGCUUGUGGCGCAAGAGAAUUGUUCCAGACGCUCAUUUACAAGAAAAUCCCUGACCUUGCCUCACGAGCAACAAUCUUCAGCACGGUCGUCCUGCCACGUCCUCUAUACAAGAUUCCUCAUACUCGUGAACGCGUCGCACGUCUGUCAUGGCGGUGUCCUGCACUGUGUGGACGGCGUGUUCAUGCUCUGAAGGACUGCGUGUCGUCACCGUCCCAUCAGCAUCGGAUGUGCUCCUACAGUUCGGUGUUGCCUUUUUGCACAGGCAUAUUUAAGUUUAGCGUAGCGAGCUUCUCUGCUUUGGAAGAGGGGUACGUUGCUCUGCGAAUGGACGGCGCUUUUAGGAAUCGAGUUAAUACGAAGCAGAACAGUAAAAGAGGUCUGGUUACGUGGACACCACUCGGUCCUUAAUAAGGGAUGUCAAUGUUUUCAUGACUCGAUCAGUAAAUUUUUGGUGGCGAGAGUAAUGGACAUUCAUUGACAUUGUGCACUUUUGUAGUAACGUGUGUGUGUGUGUGUGUGUGUGUGUGUGUGUGUGUGUGUGUGUGUGUGUGUGUGUGUGUGUGUGUGUGUGUGUGUGUGUGUGUGUGUGUGUGUGUGUGUGUGUCCUACUAAGUGCUCCAUCUUUCCGAUCGACAACGUAUGAUGUGGGUUCCGCAGCUAGCUGGCGCACUUCGAAUUUUUUUAUAUGUUGGUAGCAUUUCCAGCGUCACAGUUGCUUCACUUUACCCGGUUCAUUCCUGUUGAGAUUCCUGGUUUGAUGGUUUACUAUCGUCUAUGGACAUGCGCUUUUGGAUUCGUCGAACCGCUGGUUUCCUUUACUUUGGACCAUGGGUUGAUCGCUGUGGUCGUUUCAGCAUUCAGCAGGUAUUGUUCGGACGCCUUUCUCGUGCCAGAAACGGUCUUGACACAUUCUCGGUUCUUCCACGUUGCUCAUCACUGGCUCGGAAAGAUUAACAUGCCACUACAAAAGGACACAAUGUCAGUGAAUGGGAAAGGGGAGGGUGGUUAUUCUCGCCAACAAAGAUUUCCUGAUUUGCUCAUGAUGAUAAUGACGUCCAUCUUUAAGACUGGUUGGUGUCAAAGGUCACCGGGCUCGCUGUUUCUAGUUUUCUGGUGUCCUUCACUACUCAAAUGCUCUUAUGGAUCUACAUGGUCCAACCUAUGUAUUACCUGUCGUUUAUCAGACAGUGCUUCCCGCUGUCGUCGCUUGUUCACCGCUUACACAGUGCCGUAGUUUGAUAUUUGUGUCCAUAACUAUCGCGUACUCUGCAAGAUAGGUAAGAAUACUGAAGCGCCCUGGCGCCUUUCACGCUCCUGUGACGUCGUUGCCUGCUGACUUGUUCAGAUUACGCACACUUGUGUAAUCUCGCGAUUAAAGUGCACCGCGUGAGCCAUUGUCAAACAGCUACUUCGAAGGGGCUACAUGUACUCCCCUUAUGCCAAGUCGUGUGUAAACGUCUAGAGAAGUCGCGUGCACGAGCUCGCUCAAAGAAAUCUUGAUUAGAAAAUGUCUGCUCGUUUUUUUUUUUUUUUUUUUGAGUGUUGAAGCGAAUUAAGUUUACCAGGUUCGCCCCCGUACUUUCUUUUUUUUUUUGCUGCACGCUGUCUUUCCAUUGCUCUUCGCAUGCAUCUUAUUGCGUUUGCGUUGAAUAGUGAUUGAAUUUGCACAUGCUACCACUGUUCUAAUCUCGAUAUAAGAACGCACACUUGAUUUAUUGCGAAUUCCAUUGUUCCCAACGUGUAAUAACCUUACCUCUGCGUUGCUCGAUGACCGAAUAUAACAUGAGCACUGUCCGUGGUAAAUGGUUA